RNAcentral lists this ribosomal RNA (732 nucleotides) under Triticum aestivum (bread wheat). RNAcentral's name for it is "partial small subunit ribosomal RNA". Lineage: Eukaryota; Viridiplantae; Streptophyta; Magnoliopsida; Poales; Poaceae. The record is from RNAcentral.
AUGGAUCAUGGCCGAUGGGAGAGUACGCCAUCGUUGAUCCAUUGCUUAGGUUGGUGGCGCAUGGGUCGGGUCUGGGCAGAAGGCCGGCACCUGCAGGGGAAAACGGCGGGGGUUGGUGCAGCGGAAAGUGAGGAUGGGUUGGUCGUAGAGGGAGGCUCGCCGGCCAAAACAACCGGAGCAAGGAGGCAGUGUCGCCAUGGAGGAAGGCCCACUGGCCGGAGCAGCAGGAGCAACUGCAGCCGCUGGUCGGCCCGACGCACCGCCUCCUCUGCUGCGGCCCGCACGGUCAAGAGGGGCAGCUGCACCGUAGCUGGCGGCGAGUUCGGCGGCCGCCGCCUCCUCUCCUCUUCGAAUCCACAGGUGCCUAUGUGUUGUUCCCCUCGGUUGGAUUGUUCAUCCUUCUUCGCCGGUGGGGUGCUCGUCCAUUGCAGUAGCCUUCGUGUGCUGGAUGAACACUGCCGGUUGAGGUUGGUUUCUUCCCGUUGUGUCCUGCAUCGACAGUCGCAUCUUUCUGCCAUUGCCAUUGAGGUCUUUCUCCGUUUGUCUAGUAGGUUCAACGAUCUGCUAGGUUGCUGCAUCUGCAACUCUGUGUUGUUGUUCAUGGUUUGCUUUAUUCUUUCUUCCCUACAUGAUUGUUCUUUCUCGCUACACACAUGCUUCUCUUUCUCUAAGUGCCGUAAUACUGUUGUGAUGUCUCUAGCUACAUGCAUUUACCUUUCUUUGUCGGUCUAA